CAAGGAUGGACGUCGUUUUUAUCGUUUGAUUUCGUCCGUAGUCGGACCCUACUCUUGUGAAUGGUAAAUGAAUGUAUGUUCGUAUUGAGAUGAUUAUGAUUAGCCUAUGCGAGUCUAAGCCAAUUCCAUAUACUCAUCUCUUCUUUACAUGUACUUGUAACGAUAUCAAUUCUAGCAAAAUGACGAGAUGCGCUUCUAUCCCUAUCGAGGCCCUCGUGCCAAAAUAAAGAUAGGAUCGCAUCUUGGGCGUUACAAGUUGGUAUCAGAGUAGUAC
RNAcentral lists this long non-coding RNA (274 nucleotides) under Hordeum vulgare. RNAcentral's name for it is "long non-coding RNA (HVUL_LNC003960)". The record is from RNAcentral. Lineage: Eukaryota; Viridiplantae; Streptophyta; Magnoliopsida; Poales; Poaceae.